Long non-coding RNA from Biomphalaria glabrata, 472 nucleotides. RefSeq lists it as uncharacterized. The transcript has 4 exons. NCBI's taxonomy places the organism in Eukaryota, Metazoa, Mollusca, Gastropoda, Planorbidae. The record is from RefSeq and is a predicted model, not a curated record.
UACUUGUGCGGCAAGUUGAUGUCUUUGUCAAGGAUCUACUCCAAGCUAUGCUGUAGCAAAAUAUUACCACACGAAGCACACGCCAAAACUAAACGAUAAGUAGAAAUCGUGUCUUGGCCUUAUCUCUCAAUGUGUUCUGAAGGCAGGAUUUGUGAUAUAAAAGCUAAGUAAGUCAUCACACGCUUGUGCUGUAAGACUUUUUUGAGAAGACCAUUGUCAACUACGAUCGUUAAUUAGCCAAAAUUCAAAAAUGAAUACUGUCAUUAAAGUAGUCAUUGUUGCUGUUGCCGUCGGCAUAAUGGCCGCUGUGGCUAACGCUGUUCCUUUGUUAAUAAAUCUGCCCAUUUGUGAGUGCAUCGUGGCACCAUGUAACUGUGGUUAAUAGACAUUCCGUUGGCCAGAUUAUUCGAAAAGAGUGUUGAAAAGAAGCAAAAAAAGAUGAAAAUAAAAUGAUUCUUGAGACUAUAAUUAA